AAACUUGAGAGUUUGAUCCUGGCUCAGAACGAACGCUGGCGGCGUGCCUAACACAUGCAAGUCGAACGAAGGCGCCCCUUCGGGGGUAUCCUUAGUGGCGGACGGGUGAGUAACGCGUGGGAACCUGCCCUGGUGUGGGGAAUAACUACGGGAAACUGUAGCUAAUACCGCAUACGCCCUUCGGGGGAAAGGCUUCGGCCGUACCGGGAGGGGCCCGCGUCGGAUUAGCUUGUUGGUGGGGUAAUGGCCUACCAAGGCCGCGAUCCGUAACUGGUCUGAGAGGACGAUCAGUCACACUGGAACUGAGACACGGUCCAGACUCCUACGGGAGGCAGCAGUGGGGAAUUUUGCACAAUAGGGGAAACCCUGAUGCAGCGACGCCGCGUGGGUGAAGAAGGCCCUAGGGUUGUAAAACCCUUUCAGCAGGGAAGAUGAUGACGGUACCCGCAGAAGAAGCCCCGGCUAACUCCGUGCCAGCA
RNAcentral lists this ribosomal RNA (479 nucleotides) under bacterium. RNAcentral's name for it is "bacterial SSU rRNA". It matches the Rfam family "Bacterial small subunit ribosomal RNA", at positions 1 to 513 of the family's 1533-position model. The record is from RNAcentral.